AACGUUUGGGUCCAAGUAAGAAUUCCUAACUGGUGGGGUUGCCGGCAGCAGUAACUCAAUCAGUGUGAGCAAACCCCACCCCUUGCUGUGCCUGCCACCUGCUGCUCAAUCCUGGGCGAUGUCAGGAGGCCACGCAGCCUGGUCGAGGAAGGUGCUCAGUAGGGGAUCCAUCCUCUUCCCUGUUCCUGUGGGGCCCCAAGGAAGCAGGAUGUGCAGAAGCGUUUGUCCCAGGGGCCUCGGUGUUCGACCACAUUCUCUGCCCCCGUCCGAGAUCCGCUCUGUCCCCUAAGGUCCCCUGCUCCUCAGCCCACAGGAAACGUGUGGAUGACACACGAGGAGAUGGAGUCCCUGACGGCCGCAACGAAGCCCAUCCUGGCAUAUGGAGACAUGAACCACGCAGUGGGUGGGAAACGACUGGCUGCCCAGCCUGGGGCUGCCCCAGUACCGCAGCUACUUCAUGGAGUCGCUGGUGGAUGCCCGAAUGUUAGAUCACCUUAACAAGAAGGAACUCCGGGGCCAGCUCAAGAUGGUGGACAGCUUCCACAGGUGGGGGCUGCCUGGCUGGCGGGGACGCGGGGAGCCCCACCCCUAGAGAGUCUAUGGCCCGUGGGGCUGGUGAUGGGAAAUCUUUAGGAUUAUCUUUGGCCCUUCAGCCUGGCUUUGUCAGGAAAUCCAGGCUCGGUGCUCUGUGGACCAAGAAGAUGGUCCGUAGGAAAAGCUCAAAUCCAGAGAUAGCUUGGCUGGUUAACCCCACACCCGGGCCAGGUUAGCCGGUAGGAACUGUGUGUUGAAAAUCCCCCGCCUCCUGGGAGGGCCUACAAGCAGUGUGGCUGAUCAUUGGAGCUCCCCGACCUGUCCAGAAUAGCACAGCCAAUGGAGAGGGGCCAGAGGAGGGGCUGCGAGGCUCCCCUGAGAUUCCCGUUCCCUUGCUGCGAAGGGUGAGUCUACAUUAUGGGAUUAUGUGCCUAAAACGGCUGAACUAUGACCGAAAGGACCUGGAGCGGAGAAGGGAAGAGAGCCAGACCCAGAUCCGAGGUGAGGAGAAGAGGGUGGGCCAGGUGGAGGGGAACGGCAGAGGCAUGGGUGGGAAAGAGAGGCCAGGGAAGAGGAAGACCUGAGCACUAGGGGAGCGCGGCUGAGGGUCCCUUCCGUUCCCAGACGUCAUGGUGUGGUCCAACGAGCGAGUCAUGGGUUGGGUGUCCGGGCUGGGCCUGAAGGAAUUCGCCACGAAUCUCACGGAGAAAGCGGGGUGCAUGGGGCUCUGCUCGCCCUGGACGAGACCUUCGACUACUCCGACCUGGCCUUGCUCCUGCAGAUCCCCACGCAGAACGCGCAGGACAGCGCCAAGUCCUUCAGCCGCUCCCCAUCCUGGCGGAAGAUGUUCCGAGAGAAGGACCUCCGAGGCGUAACCCCCGACUCGGCUGAGAUGUUGCCCCCCAACUUUCGUUCGGCUGCAGCAGGAGCCCUGGGCUCACCAGGGCUCCCUCUCCGAAAGCUGCAGCCUGAAGGCCAGACUUCUGGGAGCUCCCGGGCAGACGGCGUUUCGGUCCGGACCUACUCCUGCUAGUGUUGGCCUCCAGGUGACCUCACUCGGAUGGAGGACUCUCCCAGUGGCUGCGCCGUCCCGCCUGCUGCCCAGAGUCUGGGCUUACCCCUAGAGAGCCGGCCAGGAGUUCCAGCCGCGGACUGCACCAUCUGUACAGACAGGGGCCGCGCGCGUCCCCGCCUCCCCAGUGGACUGGGCCUGGACCAAACCAUGUGGACCGAACUGAGGGGGGACAGGAGAGGAAGUAGCUAUCCCGCCCCAAACUCCCGCCUCCCUUUCUCUACUUUGUAAUUUAUUGAUCAGUUUCCAACGGGAGACGGGUACUCUCCACCCGCGGAAAGGGGGCGGGCUUCCCUCCCGGGCCGCAUGCGGGGAAAGGCUGUUCCCUCCCCUUUCUCCUGCCCAGUUGCGGGGCCCAAGUCUUCCUUCUUCCUCGGAAAGGAGGGGAGGGGGGACUCGCUGCUACAAGCCUCGCCCCCUGUGCCACUUGGCCCCGCCCCGCCGAAUCCGGUCGCCAGUCCCCGGGUCAUUUGCAGGCGGGGUCCCCUGUCCCUCCCCGUGUCUCGUGUCCCCGGGGCCUCCCCGUUCCCCGUGCUGUGGCCGUGUCCGUGCCCCAGGGGCAGGGGGCGCAGAUGCGCGCUCCCGGAUCCCCUCCCGGCUCCGGGGUUUGCAUGGGAGAAUCCUCUUUCCACGAUGCCACCGAGCGACGUGGCGUAGGAGGAGGGCGGAUGGUGGGGGAACCCUCGCCCCCGGCUCUCGGUCGGCCUCCUGGCCCCAGGCGUCACCCAGUGAUCACGGGUAAAGAGAACUGUUUCAAAA
This 2365-nucleotide long non-coding RNA is filed under the name Heterocephalus glaber (naked mole-rat). RNAcentral's name for it is "lncRNA (ENSHGLG00000046766.1)". Lineage: Eukaryota; Metazoa; Chordata; Mammalia; Rodentia; Bathyergidae. The record is from RNAcentral.